RNAcentral lists this ribosomal RNA (494 nucleotides) under uncultured bacterium. Its description in RNAcentral is "partial 16S ribosomal RNA". It matches the Rfam family "Bacterial small subunit ribosomal RNA", at positions 30 to 507 of the family's 1533-position model. The record is from RNAcentral.
AUUGAACGCUGGCGGCAUGCUUUACACAUGCAAGUCGAACGGCAGCGGGGAGGAGCUUGCUUCUCUGCCGGCGAGUGGCGAACGGGUGAGUAAUACAUCGGAACGUGUCGAGAAGAGGGGGAUAACCACCCGAAAGGGUGGCUAAUACCGCAUAAAUUCUGAGGAAGAAAGCUGGGGACCUAGGAAUAGGCCUAGCGCUUUUUGAGCGGCCGAUGCCGGAUUAGCUAGUUGGUGAGGUAAAGGCUCACCAAGGCGAAGAUCUGUAGCGGGUCUGAGAGGAUGAUCCGCCACACUGGGACUGAGACACGGCCCAGACUCCUACGGGAGGCAGCAGUGGGGAAUUUUGGACAAUGGGGGCAACCCUGAUCCAGCCAUGCCGCGUGUAUGAAGAAGGCCUUAGGGUUGUAAAGUACUUUUGUUAGGGAAGAAAAGUCAGCUGUGAAUAAUGGCUGAUACUGACGGUACCUAAAGAAUAAGCACCGGCUAACUACGUG